UACAGAGGUCCCAAGCGUUGUUCGGAUUCACUGGGCGUAAAGGGUGCGUAGGUGGGUUGGUAAGUCAGUGGUGAAAUCUCCGUGCUUAACAUGGAAACUGCCAUUGAUACUACUGAUCUUGAAUUUUCUGGAGGUAAGCGGAAUAUGUCAUGUAGCGGUGAAAUGCUUAGAUAUGACAUAGAACACCAAUUGCGAAGGCAGCUUGCUACAGGGAUAUUGACACUGAGGCACGAAAGCGUGGGGAUCAAACAGG
Molecule: ribosomal RNA, 253 nt
Filed under: uncultured bacterium
Lineage: Bacteria
Description: partial 16S ribosomal RNA
Rfam family: Bacterial small subunit ribosomal RNA
Source: RNAcentral